GGGGCUGCACUGGUUUCGACGUGGGUUCGGACGCGUGGCAGGGCAUGUCGAGGUUCUGUUACCUCGUAAAACCGCAGAAAAAAAACUAACUGCAAACGACGAACGUUUCGCACUCGCCGCUUAAUUGCCGGUGAGCUUUGCAACAGCAUGCCUAUGGGCUGGGCAAGGGUUCGAAUGGCGCAAGCCGCUAGAGUCCAGGCUGCAAAGAUAAUUUAAUAGGCUGGCUGUGCGUCGGGUAACUUGGCGUGCGGUGAGAUUCAAGGUUGCUGGCUUUCCUUGCAGCGUGUCGCUGCGCGGCUUGGGAAGUGAGAUUCAAAUCAGACGACUACACAUGUAGAACUGUACGAAAAAGGCUUGCGGACGGGGGUUCAAAUCCCCCCAGCUCCACCA
RNAcentral lists this transfer-messenger RNA (390 nucleotides) under Hydrogenophaga crassostreae. Its description in RNAcentral is "Standard tmRNA". It matches the Rfam family "transfer-messenger RNA". Rfam says of the family: Bacterial tmRNA, also known as 10Sa RNA or SsrA, is named for its dual tRNA and mRNA-like properties. Its role is to liberate the mRNA from a stalled ribosome. To accomplish this part of the tmRNA is used as a reading frame that ends in a translation stop signal. Lineage: Bacteria; Pseudomonadati; Pseudomonadota; Betaproteobacteria; Burkholderiales; Comamonadaceae. The record is from Rfam by way of RNAcentral.